This 312-nucleotide ribosomal RNA is filed under the name Triticum aestivum (bread wheat). RNAcentral describes it as "partial small subunit ribosomal RNA". The record is from RNAcentral. Lineage: Eukaryota; Viridiplantae; Streptophyta; Magnoliopsida; Poales; Poaceae.
AUGUCCGGGAGGGGCAAGGGCGGCAAGGGGCUGGGGAAGGGCGGCGCCAAGCGCCACCGGAAGGUCCUCCGCGACAACAUCCAGGGGAUCACGAAGCCGGCGAUCCGGCGGCUGGCGCGGCGGGGCGGCGUGAAGCGCAUCUCGGGGCUCAUCUACGAGGAGACCCGCGGCGUGCUCAAGAUCUUCCUCGAGAACGUCAUCCGCGACGCCGUCACCUACACCGAGCACGCCCGCCGCAAGACCGUCACCGCCAUGGACGUCGUCUACGCGCUCAAGCGCCAGGGCCGAACCCUCUACGGCUUCGGCGGCUAG